Molecule: ribosomal RNA, 569 nt
Filed under: uncultured fungus
Lineage: Eukaryota; Fungi
Description: eukaryotic LSU rRNA
Rfam family: 5.8S ribosomal RNA (bases 208-361)
Source: RNAcentral
CGUAACAAGGUCUCCGUAGGUGAACCUGCGGAGGGAUCAUUACACAAAUAUGAAGGCGGGCUGGAACCUCUCGGGGUUACAGCCUUGCUGAAUUAUUCACCCUUGUCUUUUGCGUACUUCUUGUUUCCUUGGUGGGUUCGCCCACCACUAGGACAAACAUAAACCUUUUGUAAUUGCAAUCAGCGUCAGUAACAAAUUAAUAAUUACAACUUUCAACAACGGAUCUCUUGGUUCUGGCAUCGAUGAAGAACGCAGCGAGAUGCGAUAAGUAGUGUGAAUUGCAGAAUUCAGUGAAUCAUCGAAUCUUUGAACGCACAUUGCGCCCUUUGGUAUUCCAAAGGGCAUGCCUGUUCGAGCGUCAUUUGUACCCUCAAGCUUUGCUUGGUGUUGGGCGUCUUGUCUCUAGCUUUGCUGGAGACUCGCCUUAAAGUAAUUGGCAGCCGGCCUACUGGUUUCGGAGCGCAGCACAAGUCGCACUCUCUAUCAGCAAAGGUCUAGCAUCCAUUAAGCCUUUUUUCAACUUUUGACCUCGGGUCAGGUAGGGAUACCCGCUGAACUUAAGCAUAUCA